RNAcentral lists this ribosomal RNA (493 nucleotides) under uncultured bacterium. Its description in RNAcentral is "bacterial SSU rRNA". It matches the Rfam family "Bacterial small subunit ribosomal RNA", at positions 28 to 531 of the family's 1533-position model. The record is from RNAcentral.
GACGAACGCUGGCGGCGUGCUUAACACAUGCAAGUCGAACGAGGUCCACCGCGUAGCAAUACAAGGGAAGACCUAGUGGCGAACGGGUGCGUAACACGUGAGGAACUUGUCCCGGUCUCUGGGAUAACAGUUGGAAACGACUGCUAAUACCGGAUGACGUCGGAGCAUCGCAUGGUGCGCUGACGAAAGGGUUACUGGAUCGGGAGAGCCUCGCGGCCUAUCAGCUUGUUGGUGGGGUAACGGCCUACCAAGGCAUCGACGGGUAGCUGGUCUGAGAGGAUGAUCAGCCACACUGGGACUGAGACACGGCCCAGACUCCUACGGGAGGCAGCAGUGGGGAAUCUUGCGCAAUGGGCGAAAGCCUGACGCAGCAACGCCGCGUGCGGGAAGAAGGCCCUCGGGUUGUAAACCGCUUUCAGCAGGAACGAAAAUGACGGUACUUGCAGAAGAAGGUGCGGCCAACUACGUGCCAGCAGCCGCGGUAAAACGUCUA